This 1062-nucleotide long non-coding RNA is filed under the name Nicotiana benthamiana. RNAcentral describes it as "long non-coding RNA (NBEN_LNC005660)". Lineage: Eukaryota; Viridiplantae; Streptophyta; Magnoliopsida; Solanales; Solanaceae. The record is from RNAcentral.
AAAGCCAAGAUACAUCUUUGUAGCAAGCUUUAAGACACUUUGCAACAUCAUUUUGAAUGUUCAACAAGAACAUUCUAUUUUUGGACAUAGGCACCUUAGCGAUUAAAUUAUUUUUAUUAUCUCUUAUGGAAAGACUAUGAUCUUUCAUGUGAAUGUCACAGCCCUUCUCUAAGAGUUGCCCAAAACUCAAUAUAUUAUUUUUCAUGUUGGGCACAUAGUGGACAUUUGAGAUAAAUUGGUGAUUUCCAUUCUUCAAGCGGAUUAGGAUGUUACCAUUGCCUUUCACUGGUAUUUUGGAUUCAUCGCCAAAAGAAACAUUACCACUCACCGAUUCGUCGAGCUCCACGAACAUGUUCCUCUUUCCACACAUAUGGUUGCUCGCCCCGGUGUCAAGGUACCAAGUGUUGUCUUGUCUCCCUUCUUCUUCUUUGUAUGCUAGAAGUAGGGUCAAGCAUGCUCCUCUUUCCACACAUAUGGUUGCUCGCCCCGGUGUCAAGGUACCAAGUGUUGUCUUGUCUCCCUUCUUCUCCUUUGUAUGCUAAAAGUAGGGUCACGUCUUUUUGGCCCUUAUCCUCCAUAAGGUUGGCGGUCUCUUCGACUUUGGUUUGAGACUCUCUACAUUUUGAAGCACAGUGUCCAUAUUUUUGACAAGAAUAACAUUUGAUUUGAGAUUUAUCGUACCUUGCACCUUGGUUGCCUCUCCCACGAUUUGGGUAUUCUCUUCUUUCAUCAUUGUUGUUGAAACCUCCUCGUCCACGUCCAUGGCCUCGACCUCGUCCACGACCACGACCUCUUCCAUAUUGACCUCGUCCAUUUCCGAUAUUUGCUUCCUUAUCUUUUAUUUGCAUCUUGAAUAAUUGCUCCACUAUAUCUUAUUUUUUCUUAUGUUUUUCUUCAUAUGCUUGUGAGGAUCCCAUUAAUUGAUCAAUUGGCAUCUCCUCCAAAUUUUUAGUUUCUUUAAUUGUUAUGACAAUAUGCUCGAAUUUGGAAGUUAAUGACCGGAGUAUCUUCUCAAUAAUUCUAACAUCUUCCAAUUUUUCACCAUUUCUUUUCAUUUGNNNN